RNAcentral lists this ribosomal RNA (588 nucleotides) under uncultured bacterium. RNAcentral's name for it is "bacterial SSU rRNA". It matches the Rfam family "Bacterial small subunit ribosomal RNA", at positions 13 to 595 of the family's 1533-position model. The record is from RNAcentral.
UUGAUCAUGGCUCAGAUUGAACGCUGGCGGCAGGCUUAACACAUGCAAGUCGAGCGGAGAGAGGUAGCUUGCUACUGAUCUUAGCGGCGGACGGGUGAGUAAUACUUAGGAAUCUGGCUAUUAGUGGGGGACAACAUUUCGAAAGGGAUGCUAAUACCGCAUACGUCCUACGGGAGAAAGCAGGGGAUCUUCGGACCUUGCGCUAAUAGAUGAGCCUAAGUCGGAUUAGCUAGUUGGUGGGGUAAAGGCCUACCAAGGCGACGAUCUAUAGCGGGUCUGAGAGGAUGAUCCGCCACACUGGGACUGAGACACGGCCCAGACUCCUACGGGAGGCAGCAGUGGGGAAUAUCGGACAAUGGGGGGAACCCUGAUCCAGCCAUGCCGCGUGUGUGAAGAAGGCCUUAUGGAUGUAAAGCACUUUAAGCGAGGAGGAGGGUACUGGUAUUAAUACUACCAGGUACUGGACGUUACUCGCAGAAUAAGCACCGGCUAACUCUGUGCCAGCAGCCGCGGUAAUACAGAGGGUGCGAGCGUUAAUCGGAUUUACUGGGCGUAAAGCGUGCGUAGGCGGCUAAUUGAGUCGGAUGU